RNAcentral lists this ribosomal RNA (449 nucleotides) under uncultured bacterium. RNAcentral describes it as "partial 16S ribosomal RNA". It matches the Rfam family "Bacterial small subunit ribosomal RNA", at positions 29 to 523 of the family's 1533-position model. The record is from RNAcentral.
AACGAACGCUGGCGGCAGGCCUAACACAUGCAAGUCGAACGAUGUAGCAAUACAUAGUGGCGCACGGGUGAGUAACGCGUGGGAAUGUACCAUUUGGUGGGGAAUAACUCCGGGAAACUGGAGCUAAUACCGCAUACGCCCUUCGGGGGAAAGAUUUAUCGCCAAAUGAUCAGCCCGCGUGAGAUUAGAUAGUUGGUGGGGUAAUGGCCUACCAAGUCGACGAUCUCUAGCUGGUCUUAGAGGAUGACCAGCCACACUGGAACUGAGACACGGUCCAGACUCCUACGGGAGGCAGCAGUGGGGAAUAUUGGGCAAUGGACGAAAGUCUGACCCAGCCAUGCCGCGUGAGUGAUGAAGGCUCUAGGGUUGUAAAGCUCUUUCGCCGAUGAAGAUAAUGACGGUAGUCGGAGAAGAAGCCCCGGCUAACUUCGUGCCAGCAGCCGCCGCAG